AAUGUGUGGAAACUAUGGAAACGGCAAACCCCAAACAAUGGGCUCAUUGGAUUAUGUGCACCAUGCUGCAGCCCACACAGUGUUUCUGUGGCUGGAUAAACAGACACCCGGAAGGGCUGCACAACUCCAGGAAUUGGAAGUGACUGUUGAUGGAUCGAGUGGAAGGUUUUACAAAUGUGGAUUUGGGUCAUUGUCCCUGUGGGCUUGCCUCAGCUUCCCCACCUCUCAGAACAGGAGCCAUGUCACCUCCUUGCCUCGCGGAGACUGUGGCCUCACAUCUGUAAAUACAUGCAAAGGAAGAGCAGCAUAGAGGGGCCUGUCUGCAGAAUAUAGUCCAAGGCCUGAGUUUUUAAAAGCUGUUGCAAGGCCCAAGUGAUUUUGACAGACAAGUUUAGGCUCCAGAGUGCCUAAGUCCCACUGACGUUCAAUGAGAUUGAGGGUAGGUCUACGUGGCAGUCGGAGGGGUGACUACAGCUCAUGUAGACACAUCCACACUAGCUUUUGUCUAGAUAGCCAUUACCAGUAACAGUGAAGCCAUGGACGUGAGUGCAGGCUAGCCACUCAAGUACCCAGGGUCCAGGCAGGUUUCUAUAAACCGUGCUGGAGCCCAUGCUGCCGUGACUUCACUGCUACUGGUAUUCACACCAGCUCAGGUCUACCUGCAUGGGCUGCACUCACACCUCCGACUGCAGUGUAAACGUACACUUAGGCUGCUCGGGCCCAGCUCCACAAAGGUAUUUAGGCCUCUACUUCCACCUGCUCAGCUGCCACCUAACCCCCCUAGGCGCCUAUGGUUUUACCGGUCAACAUUCACGAAGCUCGGAUGGCUAAGAGCUGCUCAGAGCCCUAGCCCAAGCUGAAGCCCCAGGGGCGCUGACGCAGGAUUCUCAAACUAGGCAGGGAAAUCCUGUCUUGCUAGCCAGGCCCAGGCUUAUCACUAUGCUCUGGAAUCCCAUUACUGCAAACAAACCUCAAUCCCACACCGGAGUCUGGUUCCUCCUAGGGCCCAAGGGAGGAAAGCACUUUACACAGCCUCGUUUCCGCUGCCCCACUAGGGAACCGCUUCUGUCCCACUGAGAACUAGCUUGACAGCCAGAUCCCAUGAAGACCCAGACAGCAAACGGCCAGCUGCUCUGGGUAGAAUUAGAACAGACCCCAAGCUGAGCCCAGAGCUACGGAAAGCCUGCUUUUUUGAGGUAUUGGGGGAUGGGGGGAGCCUGAGGCAAGAAAGAAUCUGAGAGGCCAAGAAGAGUCCUGUGUACAGCCAAUUAGGCUGCAUUCAUAAUUUAGCACCCCCUGGCUUGAUAUGCCCCUCUCUCUGUUCGCUUUGUUCUUGUUUACUCUGGACUCCUCUCCCCGCCUUUCGGAAGAGAAAUGUUCUCAUUUUUGGCUGGCUGGGAGGGAGGGGGCCGUGUUCCCACAGAACUGCAGCUGUACAUGCUGCAUAUGAACUGCACAGGAGCAAGCUCUGCGUCCUCGUGGAAGACAGACAGACACACAGUCCCAGUUCAGCCAGAUUUGUCCUGAGUGUACAGGUCAAAUACAAACCACCAGGAAACAGCAGUGUCACCCAGGUGUGUCUGGGCUUUAACGUUCUGCUGUAGCCUAGAGAUUGAAGAGAAGGGAUCAUCAUGCGCUGAAGGAAUGUGUACUGCAAGCCAUGUACUAUACCCAUGUCUUCUGCUGCAUGAAGCUAUCUGGGCUCGAUUCUCCUCUCAGUAUUGCCCACUAACUUCCCAGUACCCCAGAUGGCUCAGUAAUUACUGCCCGUUUCACAGAUGGAAUAAACAGGACCAGUGACUUUAUGUCCAACAUUUCCAAAAGUACCCACUAACUCGGAGUGCCGUCAUGGUGGUGCCCCACUGGGAGACCCCAGCUGUGGUUCCGAGAGCUGGGCACUUUCAGUGUUUGUUUGGAUCAGCAGUCUGAUGAAAAGCGAUCGAGCCCACAGUGUAAAUUCCUGUUCUCCAACCUGGAACAGCUCUAUGGGGAGAUCUCAGCACUCUUCCGAGGGGAGAGCAUACAGUGGUCAGGACACUAGGUAGCAGGCUCCUCGGUUCUGUUCUUGAUUCUGCUGCUUACUGAACUGUGUGACCCUGAGCAAGUCACUUAGCCUCAGUUUGCUCCUCUGACCCAGCUCCCAUGGGUGUUGUGAGGUUUAUUGUAAUAACCGAGGGGAAUGGGGCUUGUACAGGUGGAGAGAACAUGGGAGUCAGGGGUGGUUUGCAGCACAGCGCUCCCCAAGUCCUACUUGUCUCCAAACAAAUUAGGCUGGGUAAUGAAAAGCAGACAUAGCCCAUCAACCAAAGGGUCUUGAAACCCAGUGAGUUAUGAGGCCACUGACCUACACGCUGUUUCUGGGCAUGUGACGUUAAGUACUGUCACUUCCUGAAAACAUACCCCAGAUGAGUCCUGCCAAAGGUUUGUAAAGUGAAUUAAGCAGCCGUUUAUCUUUCUGAGAAGUUGCAACCAUGGCUUGUUUAUUUGAGUGCUGCUCAUUCUUAACCAGCAGAGAAACACGAUUGUGGCCAAAACCAGAUUUAACCAGAGCCCUCUUGCCAGUGCAUGGAAGAGAAUGGAAAAUGUACUGACUGCAUGAGCCAGAACAGAACAAUGCCAACAGCUGCAGGCCGCAUAGGCUCAGGAAAGAGCUGGUAGCAGUUACACCAGAGGCAGCUGCUCAUGGUGAGCCCUCUGCCCCUGGAGCGAACUCUUCAUUCUGCUGGAGCAGCACUGUACAUGUGCCAUCCGUGAACAUUUGUGUGAGGAAGUUGUGUCAUUCAGAUGCUGGUGAGAAGCAGACACAAACAGGGCAUGAUUACAGUGUUCCCUCUACUUUUUUACAUCCAUGUGCGGAAUGAAUAUUGUUAUGUGCACCAAUAUGGAGGUGAUGUGUGGUGGGGAUGGGGCCGAGGGGUUCAGAGUGUGGGAGGGGGCUCAAGGCUGGGGCAGAGGGUUGAGGUGCAGAGGAGUGUGAGGGGUCUCACUGGAGGUGCGGCCAGGGAUGAGGGGUUCAGACUGCCCCGGGGCUGUGGAGGGGAGAGAGGACUCCCCCCAGCCCUCUCUCACCAUGGCAGCUCCAGGGCCGGGAGAGAGGUGCCUCUCCCCACCACAGCCCUGCAUGCCCCCUACCUCUCCUCUGCAGUCCAAGCCCCUGUGGCUGUGCACCUGCACGACUCUUGAUAGCCUGCUGCACGGCUGCGCAGCUUAGAGGGAACUUAGGGCGUGAAUGGGGCCAAAGCAAAGUCAUGAAAUGUUCAGGGUCAAAAUGUUUUUCACUGAUCACCUAGGUUCAGUCUUAAUUGACAGACUCGACAGAUAUUUCAAUGGACCUCAGCAAGGUCAGUUGCAAUCCUAACCUGGAUUUACUCCCCCUCCCCCACCCAUAUUUUCAAGGAAGCCUUUAGAUAUGUAUUUCCCACAAAAAAACAAAUCUCUACAGUCCUCAUUGGACAAAGGCCUAGAUCCUCACAGGUAUUUAGGCACCUAACUCCCACCAAGAUCAAAUCCCUUUGAAGGUCUGGGCCAAAGCACUUGAGGACAGUGACUUCAGUGGAAGAUAAGCACAUACUUAAAGGUAAGGCCAAGCCUGAGAUCAGGAUACAGGUGUUUUAUUUCUUUCAGAACAGUUGUCGGCAGCCCUUUGCCCAGGAACAACUCUAGACUAACAACCCAAUAUGCUCACAACCCCACACUAACCAGCAAGUACCCAGGCACAAUGGAGGGGGGGGAAUAACUGUAGGAAAACUGAUUUUGGAUUGAGGUUUCUUCUGAGAACUAGAAGCAGGAAGGGGCCAGGGGUGUCCCAAGCUCUGAAAACUCCUUUAACAGGCUCCGAUCAAAUCCCCUUCUCUUUUUGAGGUUUGCUAUUAUUACACAGAGAAGUAAAUUUACUCACCUAAAGCUGCUCAAUUAACCCACAGCAAAUAUUGGAACUACUUGAUGUCUCUGCCUAGAAGUAACGAGUUAUUGUAGUGUCAAUAUCAGCUGGUUAUUUAAGAGUGAUAUAUUGCGGUUAAACAACCUGGCAAUAGAUUGGUUCCUUUUACGCAGCUAGGUAGGUUUAAUAAUCAAUUAGUAGAUAAUUAGCUCUGCCACUGUUCAAUGAUAUGGACACAUUGCUGGACAUGUCAACACCAUCCCCAGCCACUGGGAUCAUCCUGCUGUCAUGCAGCAUCUCAGCUCCGCCCUCGAACCAGUAAAGGCACCUCUCACACUGCUGCCACCUUUGCUACAGCGCCUAGUUUGGUGAAGAGCAUUUUCUCUGUGGCAUAAGGGAACCAGCGUCUCACCUGCAUAUGGCUCCUACACCAUCAGGAGCUGCCUGACAGAUGGCGAAAGCGGUUUAUUUCACUAGUCGUUUCCCAGUUAAAUGGCCCCGGUUUCACUUUGUCACAUCCCUGGGGCAAAGUGCAUUUGCUUUCACAGACCAGCUCGGGCCCACUGGUGAUGCCACAUAGGAGAAUCUAUCCCAGAACAGACCACUAGGUCCUGCCAAAGGCACCUGUCCAUGUCCUUGGAGUGAAUCUGCUGAGUAUGUAACACUGAGAUUGGCAAAGGCAGAACCUGCGGCAGACUAAUAGGUCUGAUUGUUUAAUUUGUCCAGCAGCACAGGCUGCAUUGCCAGCUGGCUGCUGUGCUUUGGUACAUCACACUGAACGAUGAUUGAUUAUUUCUACUGCAGCAGGAGCCCCAGUUGUGCAACGGACCCAUUGUGCUAGGUGCUGUACAAAGAGAACCCUCCAAAUGCUCAGGAGCAGGAAGACUGGAUGGAAGGUGACUAAGCCAGCACCCCCAGGUCCCUCAGCAUUGCACUAAUCAACCCUGUCACACCCUGCACACCAAACUACCAAUAGGCACUCUGGGCUAGUGCAUUGAGAAUAGUGCUCAACCACCACCUCGCUGUGCGACCAAGAGCAAGUCACUUGGCCUCUGUGCCUCCAUUUCCCCUUCUGUAAGGUGGGUGUGAUGAGGAAAAGAAAAUGUUUGUAAAGCACCAGGCAGGGGCUGGCUAUUGUAUUUCUGAAACUCCUUGGGGUAGGAGGCUGGGUCUUCCUAGGGGUUUGUACUGUGAGCCUCUGGGUGCUACCCUAACAAAAAGCAGGAGCCGGUUUGAGCCUUGUCAAGGGUACAGCUUCCACCAGGGAAUGAUGUCUCCAAAAAACCCUAGCUUAGGCCAUUGGCUUUAAUCAGGUCUUCCUGCAGCCUCUGUCCCAGAGCCGUGGCAGCAGAGCUGGGGAGGUUGUGCUGGUGCAGAGCAUCAGAGGACGUGAUUUGUUUAAACAUUUGCUUCGUUUUUCGAACAUGGAGCCCCGUUUUUAAGUACCCGGGUUAAUUGUUCCACCCCGAGUUCUCCCUGACCAUGCUGGAGCGUUCCAGGCUCAUUAAUCACCACUCACCACAGUAACAGAGCCUCCCGCUCAACCCCCUGCAGCUCCAGCCUUGGCCUCUGGGUCAUCCAUGGCCCAGGAAGGGGAUGGGCUCCUGCCCUUACAUGCUUUGACUAAGCCCAAGUCUACACUAGAAACCUUUGCCAAUACACUAACUCCUUGCUUAAGGCUGCAGUGAUGUUCCUGAAAAAUGCUACUUUAAGUGAAACGAUGUUAAGCGAAUCCAAUCUCCCCAUAAAAAAUUAAUGUAAAUGGGGGGGUUAGGUUCCAGGGAAAUUUUUUUUGCCAGACAAAAGAGUCUCUCUCUCUCUCACACACACACACACACACACACACACAGUGUAAGUUUUAAACAAACAAUUUAAUACUGUCCACAGCAAUGAUGACUGUAGCUUGGUUGAGGUGGUGGAGUCAGAAGGGGGGAUAUUUCCCAGGGAAAGCCUUACUGCUAAAUGAUGAACUAGCACUCGGCUGAGCCCUCAAGGGUUAACUCGUUGCUGUUAAUGUAGCCUCACACGCUACAAGGCAGCAUGAAUGGAGGGAGGAGACACUGGGUGGCUGCCGCACAGGGAACUUAGGGGAGCUGAUGGGGGGCUGCCGGCCCACCCUGGUUCCAAGCACCCACCAGCUCGCUCCAACGGGCUGCUCUUCCUGCAAGCAGUGGACAAAGCAUACAGCUGCCAAACAACCUUAUAAGGGAGCAUUGCGCAACUUUAAAUGAGCAUGUUCUCUAAUUGAUCAGUGACGUAACAAUGUUAACCAGGACAGUGAGGAGUUACUGUAUAGCUCUAUGAUUUUUUUUAGAUCUAUACUGGCAAAAGCCCUAGCGUAAAUGCAGUUAUAUCGCCAUCAAAGUCCUUUUUCUGGUUCCGCUCACUGAACCAGCAUACCCAGACCCUGUUUUUACCAGCAGAACGGUGUCUGCAGUAGGAGGGUUUCCUUUUCAAGUGGAAAACUAGCCUGCCCCGAUGUCUGCUCCAGGCACCUGCCCCAUUGAGCAAACACUGUUUGGAGCAGAGAAGAGCUCCUUGGUGGAAAUCGCUGCUUUUCAGAUCUGUGCUAGGAGUUUGCACUGGAGGAGUGACACUGAUUGCUGCGCACUGAUAAUCCCCAGCGGUGCAGACGAGACCUUAGACUGAGCAGUUCCAGUCUCUGACAAUCCAGACAGCAAGUCACAAACGUCUCAGUGUGGAGACAAGACUGUCCCUGUCAAAGUGACAUUGCUGAGCCUCAAGAACACAAUGCUGCACAGAGACAGCAACGACGGAAGACAGACCCUGGAGUCAAACUCAGCCCUGCUCUAGCUCCACAGACCUGGGUGCACUAAACUCUGUGGAGAUAAACAGUGCUCUCCUCUCCUCUGAGAGCAUCUCUCCCUGCCCAUGUGGUCCAACGACGAUAUCAGGAGUGGCAACUUGGAGGGGGAAACAAGCCACUUUUUUUCUUUUAACAGGAAAAGAAUCUGAAGUGGGAGUGAGUGUGGAGAAGCGCUGUCUAGUGGUCAAAGCACAGACCCAGGAGGGAGGAGGCUCUGCUGUUUGAUCUCGGGCAAAUCACUUCUCCUCUAUCCCCAUGUUACGCACGGGGGAGCAAUCACAUGUCCCUGCCUUGCAUGUGGGAGGUGAGGCCUAAUGCAGUAAGAGCCUUUGAGAGUCUUGGAUGGAAGGUACAAUCAGCACGUUAGGUAUUAUUGUUAUUAAGAUCCAUCCCCAGGCUCUGUCACUUGGGCGCAAGUUCCUGUAGCAGCUCAGACCAAGACUCUUUUUACCCGUAAUUCCUGAUAACCAGGGGUAGGAGCCGAUGUAACGCGCGGACGGAGCUGGAACAAGACCACGCAUUAUGCUGUCAAGCACAGCUGGACUGAGAGAUACAGAGGCUCUGCAUGGAAGAGCCUGCCCCAGCUCUGGCUUAGACAGCCUAGAGAACACACCCAAGCCCUCCCACAUGCUCCUAGCACCAUUGCGCAAGAACGGGGCGGGCACUGUGGGCACUGACAUGGGAAUGAGAUCACCCAGCCUUUCAAGCAAAGAGACAGUGGAAGCCACAGCCUGAAGCGGAAGCUAAUGUUCGCCAUGGGAACAAGUAGGGGCAGGUAAGAAUCACAUGCGAAGCAGUGCACUGAUCACUCCCAGCUCCCAUCGGCACUCCAAAGAUCUGGCCCCCAUGUGUUUAACUUUGCCAUUGCCCCCAAUAACUGCUGAGCUUACGAAGGAAUAUAGGACAAAUCUAAUGUACUUUUCACCACUGCUGUUCCAUCUGUCUGUGCUUGGGCCAGGAUGGACCAACAGGUCAGAUCAGUCAGUGAACACCCGCUAAAUCGACUGCAGAUUGCUCUCCUGUCGACAUCGUGUAGUGUGGACCCUGCGGUAGGUAGAUCUAAGCUACGUCAAUUUGAGUUACACUAUUCACGUAACUCAAAUUGCGUAGCUUAGAUUGAAUUUCCCCUGUAGUGUAAACAAGGCCUUAGACAAGUUAGAUAUCUUCAGGUCACCAGGGCCUGAUGAAAUGCAUCCUAGAAUACUCAAGGACCUGACUGAGGAGAUAUUUGAGCCAUUAGCAAUUAUCUCUGAAAAGUCAUGGAAGACGGAAGAGAUUCCAGAGGACUGGAAAAAGGCAAAUAUAGUGCCCAUCUAUAAAAAGAGAAAUAAGGACAGCCCAGGGAAUUACAGACCCGUCAGCUUAACUUCUGUACCCGGAAAAUAAAGGAGCAAAUAAUUAAGCAAUCAAUUCGCAAAUAUCUAGAAGAUAAGUAACAGUCAGCAUGGAUUUGUCAAAAACAAAUUGCAUCAAACCAACCUGAUAGCUUUCUUUGACAGGGUAACAAGCCUUGUGGAUUCGGGGGAAGCAAUAGAUGUGGUAUGUCUUGACUUUAGUAAAGCUUUUGAUACAGUCUCACGUGACCUUCUCAUAAACUAGGGAAAUGCAGCCUAGAUGGAGCUACUAUAAGGUGGGUGCAAAACUGGUUGGAAAACUGUUCCCAGAGAGUAGUUAUUAGUGGUUCACAGUCAUGCUGGAAGGGCAUAACAAGUGGGGUCCCUCAGAGAUCCGUUCUGGGUCCAGUUCUGUUCAAUAUCUUCAUCGGUGAUUUAGAUAAUGGCAUAGAGAAUACACUUACAACGUUUGCAGACAAUACCAAGCUGGGAGGGGUUGCAAGUGCUUUGGAGGAUAGGAUUAUAAUUCAAAAUGACCUGGACAAACUGGAGAAAUAGUCUGAAGUAAAGAGGAUGAAAUUCAGUAGGGACAAAUGCAAAGUACUCCACUUAGGAAGGAACAAUCAGUUGCAUAUAUACAAAAUGGGAAAAGGCUGCCUAGAAAGGAGUACUGCGAAAAGGGAUCUGGAGGUCCAGGACCACAAGCUAAAUGAGAGUCAACAGUGUAACACUAUUGGGCAACAGGGUGGAUCACUUGAUUACCUGUUCUGUUCAUUCCCUCUGAAGCACCUGGCAUUGGCCACUGUCAGAAGACAGGAUACUGGGCUAGAUGGACCUUUAGUCUGACCCAGUAUGGCCAUUCUUACGUUUUAUGGGAUGUAUUAGUAGGAGCAUUGUAAGCAAGACACGAGAAGUAAUUCUUCCUCUCUACUCCACACUGAUUAGGCCUUAACUGGAGUAUUGUGUCCAGUUCUGGGCGCCGCAUUUCAGGAAAGAUGUGGACAAAUUGGACAAAGUCCAGAGAAGAGCAACAGAAAUUAUUACAGGCCUAGAACACAUGACCUAUGAGGGAAGAUUGAAAACAUUUAGUUUGUUUAAUCUGGAAAAGAGAAGACUGACAGGGGACAUGAUAACAGUUUUCAAGUACAGAAAAGAUUGUUACAAGGAGGAGGGACAAAAAAAAUCUUCUCCUUAAUGUCUGAGGACAGGACAAGAAGCAAUGGGCUUAAAUUGCAGCAAGGGAGGUUUAGGUUGGACAUUAGAAAAAACUUCCUAACUGUCAGGGUCGUUUUAAGCCAUGGAAUAAAUUGCCCAGGGAGGUUGUGGAAUCUCCAUCAUUGGAGACUUUUAAGAGCAGGUUAGACAAACACCUGUCAGGGAUGGUUUAGAUAAUACUUAGUCCUGCCAUGAGUGCAGGGGACUGGACUAGAUGACCUCUCGAGGUCCCUUCCAGUUCUAUGAAUACAGCUAGCACACCACCAUUCCUUUAGUCAGGCUUUGAAAAGACCUCCCUGACUUGCUCUCGCUCUAGGAAGAUUCCCACUCCUGGAGCCCGACUGUGUGGCUGACCGUGUCUAAGUCUGCAGGGCUGGAAGGGGCGAGAACAAAGGGGCUAGAGCCAUGUACGACCCUCACUGCUGUCAGUGUGCUACUCACUGCCCCCUGGCCUGCUGAUGCCUUCAGACACCGACUCUCAGUGCCCAGUUGGUGCCCAAGGCAGUGAGUUAACCACUCCAAACCUCACAGCAGCAUGCAAAGAACUCAGAUCUUCUUGCUACAACAGCACAGAUCCCCUGCUGCUUGAGUGAAAGGAACAGCCAUUAGCUAUUAGCAGUAGGGGAAUUAUGAUACACAGCUGAGUGAGUUUGAUUCCAGCCUGUAAGGGGCAGUGCAGCACCUACACAUUGCCGACACACCAUUUCCCACUACAGCCAAGCAAGGAGCAGAGUGGUCAGAAGGAUGGCAGAGCGAUAGAUAAUCCAAGUCCUUCCCCUAGCCAGGGGAGGAUCUAGUCAAACAGCACAUUAAAAAGCCUCAGGAAAGGUCUCAUCUAGUCCUGGCUACCCACAAAAACAGCAGGCAUCUGGGCCUCCUAGCUCCCAGCACAGCCCUCUGCAUGCCAGCCCCAUGACCAGUCCAUCCUGCACAGAGCCCUGACCAGCAUCCCACACGGCCUAGUUACACCUCGGGUGGGCACAGUUUAGCAGCGGGAAUCUCCUUGCAUUCCAGCUGGCUGGGGAAGCCCUAGGAAUCAGGUACCUCCCUCCCAUGACUAGAUCUGGCACUGCUCAAACCCUGCAGUGCCCCAGGGCAUGACUCCAAGCAGGGGCCGGAUCCUGAAGCUGUCUUGACGGGCCAGCUGAGCAAUGAAUGGCAAGUGGCCAGUGACCAGGUGCUGCCCAAUGACUGUGAUGAACCCACAGGGACAUGGUGGGAGUCAUCCCAGAUGGACUCUACCUCAAACAUGUCUGUGAUCCAUGGUACUGUCAGGGGUGGGAGUGAGCGUGACAGAGAAUGCAGCAUGCACCGGCAAGUGUGACUGUGCCAGGGGAGUAUGUGUGCGGAUAUGCGAGUCUCUGCGUAUGUGAGCGUGGGGAGUGGCUGGGUGAAGGCAAGGCUUUCUCUGCUCUGGGCCUAGAUGUGCAGUUCACUCCAUUAACCUGGCGGUCCUACAAACAGAAUUACGGGGCAGAGGGAAGAUGCCACAAGAUGGACUGGCAGGUUAUUUGUGGCUCCUGCCAUGGGGUUGACGUCACUAACAGGAUCAGCAGCAAUAAUCUGCUCUUUAGCACUUGCAAAGCCCCUGAGCCAGUCUCUGAAUUGGAAAGCAGGCUGGGGAGGGAAGAGAGUGCACCUCUAAGACACAGCUGGGGCUGCUAAUUCCUGGCACAUCUGCUGCACCCUGCUGGCUGCUUGGUGGGGGAGGCUGUGGCCGUUGACAGAGCGGGCUGUUCUGCGCUCUCUCACCAUCCCAAAGUCUGUGCUGGGGAUUUAAAAGGGACAUGGCAGAGCAGUCACAGGGGACACAUUUCUUCUGUGCUUCAUGCCCAGCCCUGCCCCUGCAGCCUGUGUGACUCCUCUCCUCGCCGUGCAGCUGUCUGGGCCUGCAGACACACAGUGUGAUGUCCAGGGGCAGCGACCAGGCUGACCAUUAACUUCGUGGUACUGAGAUAUCCUGAUCAGAUCAAUAUGAGGUGUCCAUGUUCUGCUGGGAGUGGAGCUGACCCCAAACACGGAGCCUUGUCUUCCUACAUUCCAGCUGGGAAGGGCUGCUAGGAUCUACACUGAGGAAGAACAGGACUGGCACAAACUUCCCCACAGAAACCAGCAAACUCCGGCCAAUGGGCUUUACACACUUGCCUGCUCCUUGUGUAGAGCACAACCUGCAUGGGGCUAGGUAGCCUGGGCUUGCCCCUGUUGCCAGAUGUCCUAGGUUCAGGACAUUCAGGAGGAAAGGUGCUUCCUGCAAUACCCAGCAAGGCUGGGGCAGAAAGAGGAACAAGACGCCCUCCCACAGUGACAGCAGGCAGGCACACAGGAAGGGGAAGAAGGAAGAACAAGCCCACUUGCCAGAAGCCACCAUGCGUGUUUUAAGCAAAGCAACCAAGCAGAUGAGCACCCUCCGCCCUUCCCAUGCUAAUGAACAAAGGACAAACUCCAAACUCUGCAGCCCACUCAGUCCUUGGCUUCUGCCACCAGGGAGGUGCGUAGUGCCCACGGCGUUGCUGGCAUGGACACUUGUCCACUGAGACAGAACGCGUCAUUUCACAUGAUCCACCAAACAGUGACCUUUAAGGAAAUGGUUGGCACCCAAUCCAGAGAUAAAAGACUUCACUGAGCUCCGGAGUCACUCCCCUGGACAAGCCUUUUAGCUGGAAAUACAGCUCCCCGCAAGUUCAUUCCCCUGUAAUUUAACAGCCAACUUUCCGUUUCCACAACAAAACUCUCCUUCAAAAAACAGCAUGUGUGUCUAACUAGCACAGCUGCUUGGACCAGGUCUCACUCACUUCACCCCAGAGCCACUGCCUAGGAGAUUUCCCUAAACCUUGUAACCAAGGCCCCUGGAUCUCAGCUCAGAGAGGUGCAUAAACCCAGUCCUGACCCAACCUGGAGUUGCACAAUAAACCUGCUGCAAAUAGAGAAGAAAAACAAACAAACAAAAAGAGGGAGAAGAAAUAUUUUCCUUGUCAUCGGUUGUCAGAAAUGUUUUCCAUCUACACACCCAGGAUCGGGCUCGCAAUAAUCCCCCAAGAACAUCUGCUCUGUUACGUUCAGCUGAACUUCCACCUGGGGCAGCAAUUGUAUUCACACCUGCUCAACUUCCUCAGCCAAGCGCCACAGAAAAGAGUCACGGUACACAGACAGCGAGUAGAACUAACAGCCCACACUGCAGCGCCUUGCACGCCAUGGGUGGUUUGAGGAACCGUCUGGCUGAAAAGAGCCAUCAGACUCCCUUGCAGCUGCUCCC
Caretta caretta (loggerhead turtle) is the source of this 12509-nucleotide non-coding RNA. Lineage: Eukaryota; Metazoa; Chordata; Testudines; Cheloniidae. The record is from RefSeq and is a predicted model, not a curated record.